AUUGAACGCUGGCGGCGUGCUUAACACAUGCAAGUCGUGCGGUAACAGGCGUAGCAAUACGUGCUGACGAGCGGCGAACGGGUGCGUAAUACAUGGGAAUCUGCCCUUUAGUGGGGAAUAACCCGGCGAAAGCCGGGCUAAUGCCGCAUAAGAUCUUCGGAUGAAAGCGGAGGAUCGUAAGACCUCGCGCUGAUGGAUGAGCCCAUGUCGGAUUAGCUAGUUGGUGAGGUAACGCUCACCAAGGCGACGAUCCGUAGCUGGUCUGAGAGGACGGCCAGCCACACUGGGACUGAGACACGGCCCAGACUCCUACGGGAGGCAGCAGUGGGAAUAUUGGACAAUGGCGCAAGCCUGAUCCAGCCAUGCCGCGUGAGUGACGAAGGUCUUCGGAUU
Molecule: ribosomal RNA, 393 nt
Filed under: uncultured bacterium
Lineage: Bacteria
Description: bacterial SSU rRNA
Rfam family: Bacterial small subunit ribosomal RNA
Source: RNAcentral